RNAcentral lists this unclassified non-coding RNA (361 nucleotides) under Hevea brasiliensis (rubber tree). The record is from RNAcentral. Lineage: Eukaryota; Viridiplantae; Streptophyta; Magnoliopsida; Malpighiales; Euphorbiaceae.
GGCAUUUGGGAUGAUUUGCAGCCAAUUCAGAUACAGCCCAAGCCACAACAGCUUGAACUUUCAUAUGACCUUCUUUAAGAAUUUUCGCAAACACAGUGCAAGCCCCAGCAUUCACAAUCUGUUCGACACUUUCUGGGUCUCGUCCCAAUAAUCCAACGGCCCUGGCAGCAUUUUCUUGACCCUCCAUUUUCCCUUCUUUAGCCAACUUGAGCAAUGGAGGAACUCCACCUUCCUCUAUUAUCAACUUCCCAUAACGAUCAUUAUCUCGAGCCAAGGAAACCAAUGAAGCUGCAGCAUCUGACCUCUCCUCUAAAGAACCUGUAAAAAGUAUAGCAACUUGUUCCCAUAUAAGACAAAGAAU